AAGCCCCAGUAAACGGCGGCCGUAACUAUAACGGUCCUAAGGUAGCGAAAUUCCUUGUCGGGUAAGUUCCGACCCGCACGAAAGGCGUAAUGAUUUGAGCGCUGUCUCAACAAUGCACCCGGUGAAAUUGAAAUACCAGUGAAGAUGCUGGUUACCUGCGCCAGGACGGAAAGACCCCAUGGAGCUUUACUCCAGCUUGAUACUGGGAUUCGGUAUUGCAUGUACAGGAUAGGUGGGAGGCUUUGAAGCAAGGACGCCAGUCUUUGUGGAGCCAAUGUUGGGAUACCACCCUUGCGAUAUUGGGUUUCUAACCUGCAGCCGUGACCCGGCUGGGGGACAAUGUCAGGUGGGGAGUUUGACUGGGGCGGUCGCCUCCGAAAGGGUAUCGGAGGCGCUCAAAGGUUCCCUCAGAAUGGUUGGAAACCAUUCGAAGAGUGCAAAGGCAGAAGGGAGCUUGACUGCGACACCGACGGGUGGAGCAGGUACGAAAGUAGGACUUAGUGAUCCGGUGGUAUGAAAGUGGGAUUGCCAUCGCUCAACGGAUAAAAGCUACCCUGGGGAUAACAGGCUUAUCACUCCCAAGAGUUCACAUCGACGGAGUGGUUUGGCACCUCGAUGUCGGCUCAUCGCAUCCUGGGGCUGAAGUAGGUCCCAAGGGUUGGGCUGUUCGCCCAUUAAAGCGGUACGCGAGCUGGGUUCAGAACGUCGUGAGACAGUUCGGUCCCUAUCCGGCGCGGGCGUAGGAUAUUUGAGAGGAGCUGUCCUUAGUACGAGAGGACCGGGAUGGACGGACCGCUGGUGUAUCUGUUGGGUACCAAGCCCAUGGCAGAGUAGCCAAGUCUGGACGGGAUAAACGCUGAAGGCAUCUAAGCGUGAAGCCCCCCUCAAGAUGAGAUAUCCCAUAACGUCAAGUUAGUAAGACCCCUUGAAGACGACGAGGUAGAUAGGGCAGAGGUGGAAGUGCGGUAACGCAUGGAGCUGACUGUUACUAAUAGGUCGAGGGCAUAACCAA
Molecule: ribosomal RNA, 1012 nt
Filed under: human gut metagenome
Description: bacterial LSU rRNA
Rfam family: Bacterial large subunit ribosomal RNA
Source: RNAcentral